GGGGAAUAUUGCACAAUGGGCGGAAGCCUGAUGCAGCGACGCCGCGUGGGGGAUGACGGCCUUCGGGUUGUAAACCUCUUUCAGCACCGACGCAGCGAGAGUGACGGUAGGUGCAGAAGAAGCGCCGGCCAACUACGUGCCAGCAGCCGCGGUAAUACGUAGGGGGCAAGCGUUGUCCGGAGUUACUGGGCGUAAAGCGCCCGCAGGCGGUCGCGUCAGUUCGCGGUGACAGCUGUCGGCUUAACCGACAGAGGACCGAGAAGACGGCGUGACUUGAGGGCCAGAGAGGGACAUGGAACUCCGGGUGGAGUGGUGAAAUGCGUAGAGAUCCGGAAGAACACCAAAGGCGAAGGCAGUGUCCUGGCUGGCACCUGACGCUCGGGGGCGAAAGCGAGGGGAGCGAAC
RNAcentral lists this ribosomal RNA (405 nucleotides) under uncultured bacterium. RNAcentral's name for it is "bacterial SSU rRNA". It matches the Rfam family "Bacterial small subunit ribosomal RNA", at positions 356 to 773 of the family's 1533-position model. The record is from RNAcentral.